This 510-nucleotide ribosomal RNA is filed under the name Alpheus bahamensis. RNAcentral's name for it is "partial 16S ribosomal RNA". It matches the Rfam family "Bacterial large subunit ribosomal RNA", at positions 1819 to 2600 of the family's 2925-position model. Lineage: Eukaryota; Metazoa; Arthropoda; Malacostraca; Decapoda; Alpheidae. The record is from RNAcentral.
GUCCUCGUGAUAUGGUGCGAGGUCUGGCCUGCCCACUGAAGGUAUUUAAAGGGCCGCGGUAUACUAACCGUGCGAAGGUAGCAUAGUCAAUAGUCUUUUAAUUGGAGGCUUGAAUGAAUGGUCGGACAUAAGGAGAGCUGUCUGCAGCUAUGGGAUGUGAAUUUAACUUUUGUGUGAAAAGGCAUUAAUAUUUUAAAGGGACGAUAAGACCCUAUAAAACUUUACGUUUAAUCUAAGCUUUAUAAUUUGGGAUUAACGGAGGGCUUAGUGAAUUUGUUGUGCUGGGGCGGCUAGAAUAUAAUUUUGUAACUGUUCUCUACAUUUAAUAGUAGUUAUUAGAUUUUGAUCCUGAAUUUUGGGUUAAAAGAUUAAGUUACUUUAGGGAUAACAGCGUUAUUUCCCUUGAGAGUUCAUAUCGACAGGGAUGUUUGCGACCUCGAUGUUGAAUUAAAAUUUUCUCCGGGAGCAGAGAUUCGGGUGAUAGGUCUGUUCGACCUUUAAAAUUUUACA